CCUACGGGAGGCAGCAGUGAGGAAUAUUGGUCAAUGGGCGGAAGCCUGAAGCAGCCAAGCCGCGUGAGGGAUUAAGGCCCUGCGGGUGGUAAACCUCUUUUGCCGGGGAGCAGUGGUCCGGACGCGUCCGGCACGGGAGAGUAACCGGAGAACAAGCAUCGGCUAACUCCGUGCCAGCAGCCGCGGUAAUACGUAGGAUGGGGGGGUUAGCCGGAUUUGUUGGGGUUAAAGGGCGCGUAGGCGGGCAUUUAAGCAGGCGGUAAAAUGUCGGGGCUAAACCCCGGCCUGCCGUCGAUACUGGGUGCCUUGAGUGGUCGAGAGGUAUGCGGAAUGCGUGGUGUAGCGGUGAAAUGCAUAGAUAUCACGCAGAACCCCGAUUGCGAAGGCAGCAUACCGGCGCCCUACUGACGCUGAGGCACGAAAGUGCGGGUAUCGAACAGGAUUAGAUACCCUAGUAGUC
This 460-nucleotide ribosomal RNA is filed under the name uncultured bacterium. RNAcentral's name for it is "partial 16S ribosomal RNA". It matches the Rfam family "Bacterial small subunit ribosomal RNA", at positions 338 to 795 of the family's 1533-position model. The record is from RNAcentral.